Molecule: small RNA, 1462 nt
Filed under: Microsporidium sp. PBT
Lineage: Eukaryota; Fungi; Microsporidia
Description: bacterial SSU rRNA
Rfam family: Microsporidia small subunit ribosomal RNA (bases 1-942)
Source: RNAcentral
GUGCCAGCAUCCGCGGUAAUACCAGCUCCAGGAGUGUCUAUGAUGAUUGCUGCGAUUAAAAGGUCCGUAGUCGGGGGGCAGCACCUGUCUGCAAUGCGGGCGAUCAAGCGCCGAGCAGGACGGGCACAGCCCCGCACAGGAGCGAUCGAGGGCCAUACUAUUGUGCAGCGAGAGGUGAAAUUUGAUGACCUGCGCAGGAGUAGCAGCGGCGAAGGCGCUGGCCAGGAGCGUAUCCGAUGAUCAAGGACGUAGGCUGGAGGAUCGAAGACGAUUAGAGACCGUAGUAGUUCCAGCAGUAAACGAUGCCUACACUGCUGCAGACGCGUCUGCGGCAGACGAGAAAUCGAGUGGGGCUACGGGGAGAGUACGCGCGCAAGCGCCAAAUUUAAAGGAAAUUGACGGAAGAACACCACAAGGAGUGGAGUGUGCGGCUUAAUUUGACUCAACGCGGGACAACUUACCACGCCCGAUGGCCGUGUGAGCGCGUGCGCGAUAGGCCAGCGAGUGGUGCAUGGCCGUUAUCGACUAGUGGGGUGACCUCUGGGUUAAGUCCGCAAAGUAGUGAGAUCCCGGGGCCCGCCCAUUUUAUAGAUGGCGGCGUCGACAGGCGCGAGAAGCGCGGGAAGGACGGGGCAAGAACAGGUCAGUGAUGCCCUUAGAUGGCGUGGGCUGCACGCGCACUACAGUGGUCGCAGCAGGAGCUUUCAGAGUGAAUGCGAUCGAGAGGGAAUGCGCGCUGUAAGGUGCACAGGAACGAGGAAUUGCUAGUAGCCGCUGCCUCACCAAGGAGCGGCGAAUGUGUCCCUGUUCUUUGUACACACCGCCCGUCGUUAUCGAAGAUGGCGCCAGGCGCGAACAAACGCAAGCGCGUGAGUGCAGGGCGCUAGAUCUGAUACAAGUCGUAACAAGGCAGCUGUAGGAGAACCUGCAGCUGGAUCAAAUGAUAAAAAUUCAAAAAAAUUCCCAGAAAAUCCCAUACGAUACAGAAAUAUAACACCACACACAAGGGAUCGUUUGGCUCCCGCGUCGAGGAAGGGCGCCCUGGCCGGCGACAGGCCCCGGAGCAAGCGCACCGACGGGGCGUGCCCGAAUGGUGCUCGGCGAGCACGGACACUCCUCGGAAUUAAGCAUAUGAAUAAAGGAAGGAAAAGAAACCAACAGGGAUUCCGCAGUAGCGGCGAGUGAACAGGGAACAGUCCGCCGGUGUAAUUCGCGAGAAGAUGUCGGGACUAAAGAUACGCCGGAAGCGGCUGCGAUGCCGCGCCACAGAGGGUGACGGCCCCGUACGGCCAAACAACCAACCAAACAUGAGUAGCCGUGCUCGGUAGUGCACGGUGAAGAGGUGGCAGUGUCCAUCUAAGACUAAAUACAGCGGGAGACCGAUAGCAGACAAGUAGGCCGACCGAAAGCGUGAAAUUGUGUGUGGAUCCGAGCAGAUCGGACCCGUCUUGAAACACGGACC